CCUACGGGAGGCUGCAGUAGGGAAUUUUCGUCAAUGGGCGCAAGCCUGAACGAGCGAUGCCGCGUGAGUGAAGAAGGCCUUCGGGUCGUAAAGCUCUGUUGCGGGGGAAAAAAGGCAGCAUCAGGAAAUGGGUGCUGACUGAUGGUGCCCCGCCAGAAAGUCACGGCUAACUACGUGCCAGCAGCCGCGGUAAUACGGAGGUGGCGAGCGUUAGCCGGAAUGAUUGGGCGUAAAGGGUGCGCAGGCGGUCCUGCAAGUCUGGAGUGAAACGCAUUAGAUCAACUCAUGCAUGGCUUUGGAAACUGGAGGACUGGAGAGCAGUAGAGGGCGGUGGAACUCCAUGUGUAGCGGUAAAAUGCGUAGAUAUCAGGAGGAACACCGGCGGCGAAGGCGGCCUGCUGGACUGCGACUGACGUUGAGGCUCGAAAGCGUGGGGAGCGAACAGGAUUAGAUACCCCAGUAGUC
Molecule: ribosomal RNA, 465 nt
Filed under: uncultured bacterium
Lineage: Bacteria
Description: partial 16S ribosomal RNA
Rfam family: Bacterial small subunit ribosomal RNA
Source: RNAcentral